UGCAGUCGAGCGGUUGCACGGAGAUCGUGCUCGCAUUCGACGAGCGACGGACGGGUGAUGACUGUGAGGGAACCUGGCUGAUGGAGGUGGAUACCUACUGCAGACGGUAACUCCUACCGCAUACUGUCGGAGACCUGGUGGGGGACCUUCCUCCCUCUUGCCAUCGAAUGUGCCCCAUGGAAUUAGCUGUGGUGGGGUAACGGCUCACCUAACCAACCAUCCCUGGCUGGUCUGAAAGGAUGACCACCCUCACUGUAACUGACACACGGUACUCACUCCUACGGGAGGCAUGGUGAAUAAUUAUUGCUCAAUGGGCGCCUGAUGAUGCAUGCAUGCCGUGUGUGUGAAGAAUGCCUUCUGGUUGUAACUUUCUUUCGGGAGGAAGGAAGGCGUUUAGGUUAAUAACCUUGUUGAUUGACGUUACCCACUAAACAACCACCGGCUAACUCCGUGCCACCGCCCGCGUACAUAAGGGAGGGUGCAAGCGUUAAUAAUUAAUUACUGGGCGUAAAGCGCACGCAGGCGGUCUGUCAAGUAUGUAUGUGAAAUCCCCGGGCUCAACCUGACUGCUGCCAUUCACUACUGAGCUAGCUAUAGUCUUGAGGGAGGGGGGAAUUAAUCUCGUGGUGUAGCGAUGUGCUUGCGAUAUAGAUCUGGGAGGAAUACCGGUGAACGAAGGCGGCCCUGCCUGUGACUACUGA
Molecule: ribosomal RNA, 701 nt
Filed under: Klebsiella pneumoniae
Lineage: Bacteria; Pseudomonadati; Pseudomonadota; Gammaproteobacteria; Enterobacterales; Enterobacteriaceae
Description: bacterial SSU rRNA
Rfam family: Bacterial small subunit ribosomal RNA
Source: RNAcentral